RNAcentral lists this ribosomal RNA (469 nucleotides) under Centipeda artemidis. RNAcentral's name for it is "bacterial SSU rRNA". It matches the Rfam family "Bacterial small subunit ribosomal RNA", at positions 28 to 476 of the family's 1533-position model. Lineage: Bacteria; Bacillati; Bacillota; Negativicutes; Selenomonadales; Selenomonadaceae. The record is from RNAcentral.
GACGAACGCUGGCGGCGUGCUUAACACAUGCAAGUCGAACGGAGCGAAUGAAAGCUUGCUUUUAUGAGCUUAGUGGCAAACGGGUGAGUAACACGUAGACAACCUGCCGAUCAGAUGGGGACAACAUUCCGAAAGGAAUGCUAAUACCGAAUGGCGUGGAGGGAAGGCAUCCUCCUUUCAUGAAAGAUGGCCUCUAUUUAUAAGCUAUCACUGAUCGAUGGGUCUGCGUCUGAUUAGCUGGUAGGUAAGGUAACGGCUUACCUAGGCGACGAUCAGUAGCCGGUCUGAGAGGAUGAACGGCCACAUUGGGACUGAGACACGGCCCAGACUCCUACGGGAGGCAGCAGUGGGGAAUCUUCCGCAAUGGGCGCAAGCCUGACGGAGCAACGCCGCGUGAGUGAAGAAGGUCUUCGGAUCGUAAAGCUCUGUUGAAGGGGACGAACGAUCGAGGGGCGAACAGGCUCUCGGU